This is a long non-coding RNA of Sinocyclocheilus anshuiensis, 365 nucleotides long. RefSeq lists it as uncharacterized. The record is from RefSeq and is a predicted model, not a curated record. NCBI's taxonomy places the organism in Eukaryota, Metazoa, Chordata, Actinopteri, Cypriniformes, Cyprinidae. The transcript is spliced from 3 exons.
UAGGCGGCGUAAGCGGCUUUACGCUCAGUUUGACAGUUUGCUUGACAACAUGACGCUUGUUCAAACAACACGUGCAGACCGUUUUAAACACAUCUUAUGCAGAUGACAGCUCAGUGACAAUAUCUUAAUGUCACUAAACAACACAUAUUUCAGCUCUUCGACAAAUAAAGCCGACGCGUAAUGCGAUAAAGAGCGUCACGCUUCUCACCUAAUAAGAGAUGUGUUUGGACCACACAGAGCUCUGGGACGUGUGGACAGACAUUCGCUGUAAUGAAGGACAUCUGCUCAUGGACAGAAGCAUAACUGCUGCUGGACAUCGCUCUGGGACUCAGGGGGGGACCUGAAUCAUCCUCACCCCUUCAUUC